GCCUGGCUGGCUCAGUUGGUAGAGCAUGUAACCCUUAAUCUCAGGGUUUUGAGUUUGAGCCUCAUGUUGGGUG
This 73-nucleotide transfer RNA is filed under the name Felis catus (domestic cat). It matches the Rfam family "tRNA". Rfam says of the family: Transfer RNA (tRNA) molecules are approximately 80 nucleotides in length. Their secondary structure includes four short double-helical elements and three loops (D, anti-codon, and T loops). Further hydrogen bonds mediate the characteristic L-shaped molecular structure. tRNAs have two regions of fundamental functional importance: the anti-codon, which is responsible for specific mRNA codon recognition, and the 3' end, to which the tRNAs corresponding amino acid is attached (by aminoacyl-tRNA synthetases). tRNAs cope with the degeneracy of the genetic code in two manners: having more than one tRNA (with a specific anti-codon) for a particular amino acid; and 'wobble' base-pairing, i.e. permitting non-standard base-pairing at the 3rd anti-codon position. RNAcentral also lists the same sequence under 5 other names. The record is from Rfam by way of RNAcentral. Lineage: Eukaryota; Metazoa; Chordata; Mammalia; Carnivora; Felidae.